RNAcentral lists this ribosomal RNA (497 nucleotides) under uncultured bacterium. RNAcentral's name for it is "bacterial SSU rRNA". It matches the Rfam family "Bacterial small subunit ribosomal RNA", at positions 67 to 543 of the family's 1533-position model. The record is from RNAcentral.
CGCGAAAGGGGCUUCGGCCCUGAGUAGAGUGGCAAACGGGUGAGUAACACGUGGGUGACCUGCCUUCGAGUGGGGGAUAACGUCCCGAAAGGGACGCUAAUACCGCAUGACAUCCUGCUUUUGGAAAAGCGGAGAUCAAAGCUGGGGAUCGCAAGACCUGGCGCUUGAAGAGGGGCCCGUGCCUGAUUAGCUAGUUGGUGGGGUAACGGCCCACCAAGGCGACGACCAGUAUCCGGCCUGAGAGGGCGGACGGACACACUGGGACUGAGACACGGCCCAGACUCCUACGGGAGGCAGCAGUGGGGAAUUGUUCGCAAUGGGCGCAAGCCUGACGACGCAACGCCGCGUGGAGGAUGAAGAUCUUCGGGUCGUAAACUCCUGUCGAGCGGGAAGAAUAGUUUCGGGGUAAACAUCCUCGAAGCCUGACGGUACCGCUAAAGGAAGCCCCGGCUAACUCCGUGCCAGCAGCCGCGGUAAUACAGGGGGGGCAAGCGUUG